GAGAAGAAGAAGAAAAAGAAGGGACUAAAGGAGAAGUUGAAGGAGAAGCUAGGAGGAGGAGAAGAGGAAAGGAAGGAAGAAGCUAAAGAACAUGAACACGAAGCAGUAGCCAUCCCAGUUGAGAAGGUGGACGAUGCCGCACAUCCUGAGGAAAAGAAAGGAUUCCUAGACAAGAUCAAGGAGAAGCUUCCAGGACACAACAAGAAGCCGGAGGAAGCGGCUCCGGAGGCGGCACCGUGCGCUGGCGAGGCUGCUCCUCAUCAUCAUGAAGAAGAUCAAGGAAAGGAAAAGAAGGGAUUUUUGGAGAAGAUCAAGGAGAAGCUCCCAGGUUACCAUGCUAAGGAGGAAGAGAAGCAUAAGGAGGAGGCAGCUUCUCAUUGAAGAUAUUGCAUAAUGGUUUAUCAUCAUUUGUGGGGUGGAUUUCUUAAUGCUUUAUUUUUAAUUAUGUGUUUUGUAAGAAUUAUAUAUGUGCUUUUUUGAUGUGCAUAUAUAUAUAUAUGGGAUUUGCUUUAAGGUGGGGAAGGGAUGUGUUUUCUUUUUCGUUGUCA
This 548-nucleotide unclassified non-coding RNA is filed under the name Hevea brasiliensis (rubber tree). The record is from RNAcentral. Lineage: Eukaryota; Viridiplantae; Streptophyta; Magnoliopsida; Malpighiales; Euphorbiaceae.